RNAcentral lists this long non-coding RNA (640 nucleotides) under Heterocephalus glaber (naked mole-rat). RNAcentral's name for it is "lncRNA (ENSHGLG00100042761.1)". Lineage: Eukaryota; Metazoa; Chordata; Mammalia; Rodentia; Bathyergidae. The record is from RNAcentral.
CCUGAGAAAACUUCGAAUUGUUUGCCCGAACCUAGUUGGUGCAAAGCAGAAAACCUGAAGAGUAAAGAAAAAUGAUUUUGUGCAUCUUUUUACUCCUAAAAAGGAUAAAAUGGUCAUGUCUUUUGCUGGAGACUGUAGGAAGGAGAUUCUGUCUGCUUCCAAUUUUAAUGAACAACUUUUUAAAAACUUUAUUUCUGAAAGGUUACUCAGAAAGGGCUUUUAAAACUAAAUGAAAACAUGUCUGUGCUUCCAAAGAGAAGUAAGGGAAUACCUACUUCAAAGAAAAAGGAAGGAGCUGAGGGUGGAGCGAAUCCAUCAUGGCCCUGGCUUCAAUGCCCAAUACCAAAAAUAAACAGAACCAAGGAAAAGCAAAACCCCAUGGAAAGGAUGCUAAACCCUUGGCUGCAUCAGCAUUUUCAAACUCCAGUACAAAACUCUACACCUGGAGCACUCCUAGCAACCACCAGCUUCUACCUGAGGAGAGUAUUCUUUGAUCUGCAGUGCUGGCAUGUACUCUGGUUUGCUUAGUGAAUGUGUUUGGACACAUUCUUUUUUUUUUGCAAGACUCUUUAAAAUUGAGAAUCAGCCCAAAUUAAAGAGUUGCUACAUACUUAUUGACCUGUUCAUUUGUGUGGAGGCC